Canis lupus familiaris (dog) is the source of this 3577-nucleotide long non-coding RNA. RefSeq lists it as uncharacterized. The record is from RefSeq and is a predicted model, not a curated record. The transcript has 2 exons. Lineage: Eukaryota; Metazoa; Chordata; Mammalia; Carnivora; Canidae.
CAUGCGGGGAACCCCAUGUGGGACUCGAUCUUGGGUCUCCAGGAUCACGCCCUGGGCCAAAGGCAGAUGCUCAACUGCUGAGCCACCCAGGAGGUCCCCCACUUUUCUAACUCCAGGGCUAUUACAGUUUCCCACAAGAAGUUUUACAUCUUAACUAAUCUGGUGAGAGAAAAAGUUCAGAGACGAUAUGUUUUUCUUUUCCUGCACAUUUUUUUUUCUUGUUGAUUUUUGGGAGCUCUUUGUAUACCAAGGAUGUAGUUUAACCAAGUAGUGUAUCUCUUCUUUUACUAUUAUAGGUGAGAUCGUCUGAUACAUUUUGCAGCUUUUUUUUUUUCCCCGCAUGAAGGAAACUAAAUAUUCAUUAAGCCCUUGCUGUUUUACUAAAUUGUCGUUUAAAUAGCUUUUUUUUAGUUACUUUGAGUUUUUCAUAUAGUCCUAUCAUCUGCAAAUUAACUUUGCCUUUGUCCUCAUUUUUUAAAAUUAUUUUUUAUAUAUUUUUUAAAGAUUUUACUUAUUUAUUCAUGAGAGACAGAGAGAGAGGCAGAGACAGAGGCAGAGAGAGAAGCAGGCUCCAUGCAGGGAGCCCGACAUGGGACUCGAUCUCGGGUCUCCAGGAUCACGCCCUAGGCCGAAGGCGACGCUAUACCGCUGAGCCAUGGGGCUGCCCUGUCCUCAUUUUUAAAUCUCAAUUCUUUCUUGUCUAGUUGAAUUGACCAGCACUUCCAGACGAUGUUAAACCUCUGGGGGAGUUGGGUGGAUUCUGUGGGCAUCCCCCUCCACCCUCCUGUAUUUGGUGGCAGGAUUGCCAGUAUUUGUUCAUUAUAUUGAGUGCUGUUUUUGGCUUGAGAUUCUGCAGUUAAAUGAGGGCAAUAUCUAUCAUUGCUUAUUAUUAUUUUUUAAAAAUUGUAUUUAUUUUUUGCUUAUUGUUUAUUGAGGGAUAUUGAGUAAUGGAUACUCUACAGUACAAAGUACGAUUUUACCCUCUGAUUUUGUUUCCUGAUGCAUGAAUAUGGCUAUUAACAAACUUCCUAUCGAACCAUCUCUGCAUCUUGUGUGAGCCUUCUUAAGAUGGAUUUUUUUUUCAAAGACUUUAGGUAAGCUCUAUACCCAAAGUGGGGCUCGAACUUACAACCCUGACACCAAGAGUUGCAUCCUCUACCGACUGAGCCCGCCAGGUGCCCCUUAAGAUCUAUUUUUUGAAAGUUGCCAUUAGAGCUUAUAAAAAACUUUAGUUGGUGUUUUUACACCCAUGUUGACGGUGACCCUCCACGUGGGUACUUCCAUGUAUAUUCCCACAGUGGCCACUCUCACAGGCCUGGGACAAACAUCCUAGUGCACCUGUUACCUGCCCAGCCUCUCUCACUGAGCUCCCUUGGUCACCUCCUUCACAGGCUUCACCUUUGACAUCUGGAGGGAGGGUGAGCAGAGCCCAGGACUGAUGGUUCUCCUGGGACUCCCACUCCAUGACGUCUUCCAGGGUCCAACUCUGGAGUAGUGCCCACGCAGUCCUCACCUGAAAUGAUCAGGCUAUGUCCUUGGCAGGGCAGAGUUCCCACAGACCCUCGUGUGUUUGUUGAAUGGCUUGGUGAAGGCUCUCUAGUUUCCUGAGAGCUCAGGUUGUGGCUGGACUAAGUCCUGUCUCUGAAUUCUCACCUUCAGUCGCAAGCAAGGCCCAGCACUGACGCUCUCUCCUCCAGGCUGACGUCCAGAGGUAUCCCCAUUCCCCUCCCACCCUCCGGGCUUCACCGCAACCGGACAGGCUGAAGGCACCGUGUCUGGCUCUGACCCUACCAGCCGGGGGCUCCUGUGUCUUCUUGGAACGUGGCCUUUUUCAGUGUGGGGAACCUGCAAAGAGCCUCCGUAUUGUUGUCCAGCCCAAAGGGCAGCCCUGGACACGGGUGGAGGGAAGACAGAGGCUAGACAAGCUGGGCCAGCACAGGUCUUUAUUUGAGUUUGGGCAUGAUGCGAAUGAAGAGGAUCAUGCUGAUGAAGAUGAAGCAGACGAUAAUAAGCAUGGCCCAGAGCAGCCAGUUGACCGACUUCUGUGUGUGCUGCUCCAGCCGCUCCGAUUCGGUCUUCAGCUUCUCCAGGUUCUGGUCAGCCAUCUUGAGGGAGUGUGACAGGGUCUGUGGGCGAGGUGGGGAGGUCAACGGGACUGUGGCCAAGUGUGGCCUCUCCCUGCCGCCUGGGGGCAAGUCUGCUCCUCUUGGCCCUUGCUAGUACUAUGUUCUCUGCUGGGGGGUCCACGUCUGCCUUCUGUCAAACUUCUAUCAUCUGAGAGCCCUGGCCACGAGGCCCCUCUGCUGGGGAGCCAUCUCUGGUGUCCCCGGGCAGAGGCUAGGAAGUUCCCCCGGCCCUCACACCUGGUUGUCCUUCUUAAUGACGCUCUGGGCGGCCAGCGUGUUGCUCUUGAGGCUCCUUGCCAGGCCCAGCAUCUCCUCCGCCAGCUUCUCCUGGAGGUCCUGAUGCCGCUGCAGGACGACGUCUAGCUCGGCUGCUGACUGUUUCUCAUCCCCUGAUCUGGGCCCUGCCACCCCGCUGACCUCACACAGAGGUGGACGGGUGGGCAGGAGACAGGGUGGAGGAGUGGGAAGAGACCAACACAUUCCCAGGGAGCCCAGAGGUUAUGGCUCCAGCCCCUGCCCUGCGUAGGGUUCCGUUUCCCCUUCUUCACUUUGGCUUUUUGGAAGAGCAUCCCCAGAAGUGGCUUCUGAUCGGUGAUUUAGAUGCUUGCGGGGGCCUUCAUGGUUUGGUGCCUCAGUGGUCCCAGGUUCAUCCCGCCCCACCCUCCACCCUCCACCCUUCCCAUCCCCGUGCUCCCCCCAAGGGCUGAAGACACUCACAUUCUCUUCCUCACAUCCAGCUUGGGCUCUGGAAGCAAAAAAGGCCAAGCAGGAAGAAGGAGAAGAUUGGUUUCCUGUUUCCCAGCUUCCUGAUGGUUGCUUGUGAUGUGUCUGCUACUCAUCAUGUCGUUUCCUGUCUUAUCUGCUUCCCAGCGAGCUCCUGAUCAUGCUUCAAAGCUCUAGCUCAAAAGUCCUCUCUUCUAAGCAGUUUUCCUCACUUCUAUUUGGGCUCUCCCAGGCCCCAGGCCCCCUCUGUUGGCUUACCCUUGGCCCUGCGGCCUGGGGGUAUCCAGCUUUCUUCCCUCUGGGGGCCAGCUCCUCUGUCCUGGCAUCCCCAUCAGGCACAGCUAGGUGACACCCCUGGGGCUACACUCCCUGGGCUGUGGGAGACCCCAGGGGAGCCAGGCGCAGGAUGUGAGGCAGCGUGACAAUUAAGCCUCAAGUCCUGUUUUACUCAGGGUGACUCACCUCCAGCAGAAUCCUAUGGGAAAAAGGGAGAGCCAUGAAGUCACCUGCCUUGUCCUGCACCCCAAACUAUCCUUUCUGCUCUCAGACUCUGCCCCCACAACCCCCCGCCGGCAAGUCCCAUGACCUCAGGAUCUCAGUUUCUUCAUAUUUUGAAGGGUUUAGCUGAUCCACAUAAAAGGCUCAAAAAGACACUUGCCGUCCUAUUUUGCAGAUGGAAAAACUUGUCUAUUUGUGGCAAGAUGAGAUAAAGUCAUGUAACUGGCAAA